UCCGCUGCGGCCGCCGCAGCUUCCACCUGCAGAAGUGCACUUGCUCCUCGUGCGGCUACCCCGCCGCCCGCAUCCGCAAGUAUGCACUUCCUUGCAUCAUUCCAGAAAGCACAGGAGGAGAAGCUAUUCUUCCUCAGAAUCUGAUAGUGAAUCAGAGAGCGACAGUGAUCGUAAACACAGGAAGAGGAAGGACCGCAAAAGGCACAGGAAACAUGGCCACUCUGAAUCUGAUGGUGCCAGGAGGCGCAAGCAUAGGUCAAAGAGGAGGUAUUCAGACUCUAGUGAUGAGAGUGACAGCGAUAACUACAAUAGUGAAUCUGAAGAAAAUAUACAUUGUAUUGUAUAUGCUACUGAAAUAAAAUAUACAUUUUAUUUGCAA
This is a long non-coding RNA of Hordeum vulgare subsp. vulgare (domesticated barley), 379 nucleotides long. RefSeq lists it as uncharacterized. NCBI's taxonomy places the organism in Eukaryota, Viridiplantae, Streptophyta, Magnoliopsida, Poales, Poaceae. The transcript is spliced from 2 exons. The record is from RefSeq and is a predicted model, not a curated record.